UAAAUAUUUAGGUUCUCUUUUAUUAAUUUGAAAAGAGAAUAAUAAGGAAUUGAGUUAAACUCUCAAACGGUCCGGCCACUGUAAUUGGUUAUAAUUCUUUUAAUACCACUGGUUAAUAAACUGGGAAGGUAAGAAUUUAUUUAUGCCAUAAGUCAGGAGACUUGCCUAAGUAUAUA
Molecule: non-coding RNA, 176 nt
Filed under: pig gut metagenome
Source: RNAcentral